CCUCCCAGGCUGGCCUAUAAAGGGUCUGCUUACAGCACCUGUGAAGCAAGCACUACCCGUUCGGGGAAGUCUCGCUCCUCUCCUCUCUGCUCAGAGGCUCAGUCGCGCAGCAUCUUCACCCAGAGUUUCUCCAAAACGCUGAAAGCUUACAGGCAACCAUGUGGGCUCUUGGAGCUGUACCUUGGGUCUCUAGUCUGACAUCUUCCAAGCACAUGGGCAAUUAAGCCACAAAUCAAACUUCCUUCAGCCACCAGGACUGCUUGAGGAACUCCCAAAAUCUCAAAAGUGAUCUGUGAUUUGAAGGAUAACUGUUGGAAGAAGGAAGGGUGUGAAAUGAUUAGGGAGACAUAUUUGUAAUCAUGACUUUAGGCUUUCUGUCCUAUCGAGGAUGAAUGGCUGUUUAACAUCUUCUCAUUAAACUGGUUUGCUCUAUAAAAACUCUCCAGGGCAUGGCCUCCCUUUUUCCAGGUUUGAUGGACUUACUCUAUACACAUAACUCUCAGGGCAGCUUUGCACAGUGGGUGAGGUAAGAAAUUGAUGGAAAUAUGUUUGGUAGAAAAACUAGUAGCUGCCGAAUCCAGAUCUCACUUACAAGAUAGUGAGUCACCUGCCACAAGGCUAAAGCUCUUGAGGGGAGGAGAAUAUGAGCAAAUACUCAUAUAGGCCCAUGAACUCCUCGGGAAGACAAAGCUGCCUCCAGCCCAUCAUCCUGAAGGAGCUGACAGGGAACCUUCAGAAGACCCUUGUGUGCUCCUGGGGCUCCUCUUCGACCUCAAGAUGUUUUGAUCAACUGAACAAGUGACACACUGAGUUACAUGGACUCCUGUCCAGGCGAUUUCCUUCUCAUGCAACAACACAGACCCUACUAUCCUCUUAGAAAAUGCCAGUAUUUACCCCACUAGGCCCUGUAUCUGAAUUUCUGUCAGUCACAUGAGGAGCCCAGGAGACUCAAGUCAUCUCAUCACAUGGAUGCUUAUUCUCCAGCAGCUUAGAACAUCCUGUAAUUAGCCCACAUCCCCACCUUUCUCAACCCCUAACCCUUCUUCAUCCUCUGGAAUAUAUAGCCAUCAGAAAAGUCCCCUUCAUACUUCAGCUCUCCUCAGAGUAGUCCCUUCAUCUACCUCUAACUAAAAUCUGGCUCACUCUGUAGAGAACACUUCAAGAGUCAUCUUCUCUAGGAGUGGUGAUUUCUCUCUCAUGUUCUCCAUGCUACGGGGUCUGGAGUUUAGAUAAUUUUAUUUGCUCCUUCCUCUUGGCUCUUUCAGACCUUUCUUCCUUCUUCUCUGUUUCUCCAUAUCCCCUGAUUUCUUUUGAAGUUGUUGCAGAGAGAUUACCCACUACCCAGACUUCCUGUAGUUAUUUAUUCAACCCCCAGGUCACUUUUAUUUAUUGCUUAGAGGUCUUAUUACAUUCACUCCAUGAUGACUCUGUCACAAUUUUUGGUAGUUUUAUAUUUAUGCAGACAAUCCUGUUAACCUCUUGAAUUUUUAGUUCCUCAUUCUCCUUUUUGGCUAGAAUCACAUCUUCUACUUUAUGUCACCUGCCCACUCUCUAAUGAGGUGACCCUAGACUUUGUCAUUGCUAGUAAUAGCGCUCCCUCUAUAAUCUCAGUUUUAAGCACCCCCUCUCCAAUUCACCUUUAUAACUUUCUAACACAUUCCUACUAUUUCCUUCCCUAAGAAAUAAAUAGACUUGUCUGAAAUCUUCAGUCUAUGGCCCAUAUGCCUUUUUCACUGCAUACAUUUUCUUAACUCCUCAAAAUUCUCAUAUUCCUUCAUCUGAA
Sus scrofa (pig) is the source of this 1783-nucleotide non-coding RNA. NCBI's taxonomy places the organism in Eukaryota, Metazoa, Chordata, Mammalia, Artiodactyla, Suidae. The record is from RefSeq and is a predicted model, not a curated record.